RNAcentral lists this ribosomal RNA (481 nucleotides) under uncultured bacterium. Its description in RNAcentral is "partial 16S ribosomal RNA". It matches the Rfam family "Bacterial small subunit ribosomal RNA", at positions 29 to 523 of the family's 1533-position model. The record is from RNAcentral.
AAUGAACGUUGGCGGCGUGGAUUGGCAUGCAAGUCGUGCGCGAAUCGUAGCAAUACGAGGAGAGCGGCGAAAGGGAGAGGAUAGCAUAGAUACCUACCCUCGGACCUGGGAUAGCUAUGGGAAACUAUAGGUAAUACCAGAUAAUGUCUCCGGACCAAAGGUGUGAUUCCGUCCGGGGAGGGGUCUAUGUCCUAUUAGCUUGUUGGUGAGGUAACGGCUCACAAAGGCAAAGAUGGGUACGAGGCGGGAGAGCGUGUCCUCGCUCACUGGGACGGAGACACUGCCCAGACACCUACGGGUGGCUGCAGUCGAGAAUCUUCGGCAAUGGGCGCAAGCCUGACCGAGCGACGCCGCGUGUGGGACGAAGGCCUUCGGGUUGUAAACCACUGUAAGUGCGGAGGAAAUAUAGGGGGGUUCUCCCCAUUAUUUGACCUAUGCGCAGAGGAAGGACGGGCUAAGUUCGUGCCAGCCGCCGCGGUAA